Molecule: non-coding RNA, 67 nt
Filed under: Knoellia flava
Lineage: Bacteria; Bacillati; Actinomycetota; Actinomycetes; Micrococcales; Intrasporangiaceae
Source: RNAcentral
UCAGAGCCUCGACUGCAGGCUCCCGGACGAGGGGCGCCGUACCCGGCACGCGACAAGACGGCCCGCA